Molecule: long non-coding RNA, 4353 nt
Organism: Trichechus manatus latirostris (Florida manatee)
Lineage: Eukaryota; Metazoa; Chordata; Mammalia; Sirenia; Trichechidae
Exons: 2
Source: RefSeq, a predicted model, not a curated record
UCAACUCAAUGAAAAUGGUUUUUUUUUUUUUUUGGUAUAAAGGAUUAUCAGUAAUAGGAAUACCCACUUUCACCAAACUGGUGAAUACCUGUGUAUUUUUGCUGCUCCUCCUUCUGCCAUGAGCAUUUUGAAUUAACAGGCUGAUUUUCUAAUGCUCAUUAUGGCAUUAGAUUCCAUCAUAAAGUGUGUGUUUCCUUGACCAUGCCUUUUCUUGUCUUUCACAACCAGCUUCUUUUAAAGGCGGGAAUAGCAAUUAUACAGCUGUGCACUGAGGAUUCCCAGGUGACUGCAGCCAAGACUGAAUUCAGGCCACCCAGCUACUGACCAGAAGCUUUGCCAGCUUAGCUACUUGACCACCUGCUUCUGUUUUUCUGGUCUGCUUGCAAAUGGAGGGAGUUUGUUCUUCUGCCAUCAACAUCAAUUUCAAAGAGUUCCUUGGAAGAACUUGGAAGGGGGAGGGCCUGGGUGAUGGAAGUGGUUUGCGAGUGGUUCUAAAGGUAUCGUGGAAGAAAAGCCAUGGUGAUCUGCUUCCAUUAAGAUUACAGCCAAAGAAAACUCUGUGGAGCAAUUCUCCUCUCUAACACAUGGGGUCAUCAUGAGUUGGGCGACUCUGUGGCACUCAACAACAACACAAGGUAGAGAAGUAUGUAGUUCAUUUUGGGAAAGUUUCUUUUAAAAUCAGGUAAAGUUUGGGCAUUGUAGAUUGGAUUCUGUUAGUUGCAAGGGAUAAAAACCCACCUCAAAAAGUAGGCUCAUGAAACCAGCUGUCCAAGUGCAAACCUGGCUUUGGGCAAAGCAGGAGCCAGGUGAUGAAUGAAUUUCUUAGGGCUCUGUCUCUCUGGCCCCACCUCUACAUGGUUGGGACUUCAGGAUAAAAAAGAAAAAGAAACCCUCUUCUUCCCAACGUCUGUACACAAAAUUAAGAGGACUCAGGUCCUUCUUGGUUCUUAUACUCACUUCUAGAUGUACUGCUCUAUUGGGGGAUGAUGGCUGUGAUUGGUGUAGCCUGGGUCACGUGUUACAUCUGAGGCAAGGAGGGCUGGGAUACCAUGAGUGCUGGCCCAGUCAGGGCUGCACAGAGUGGAGGAGGGGAGGUUCCUCUAGGGCAGUAGUCUGGCAGACAGAGACCACACUCCUACUCCAGGCAAAUGAAUGGCAGAGUGUUUGUUAUUCAGGAAGCCACUCCUCCAGGGCUCCACUCUCUUGAUGCCAGAUAAAUGAGCUUUCACACUAUUUGGAGUUAAUUAUUCUCUUUGGGAACAUGCAAAAUAAAAUUGUGAUGCGUUUUUAAAUUGACUUAUACUAUCCUUUGGUUUGUUUUUUUUUUCUUUUUAAAUCACAUUUUUUAUACUUAACUAUAAUGGAAAGUGAAAUCUUUUUUCACCAGCUUUUUAACAACCAUAGUAGUAAUAAUGUACCCUCAUUUCUUCCCUCUGAAUGUUAAGAUCUUGGAAAGUCAAAACCAAUCUAGAUGGGGAAUAAACCAAAAAACCAAACCCGUUGCCGUUGAAUCGAUUCUGACUCAUAGUCAUAGCGACCCUGUAGGACAGAGUAGAACUGCUCCCUAAGGUUUCCAAGGAGCGUCUGGGGGAUUUGAACUGCCAACCUUUUCGUUAAUAGCUGUAGUUCUUAACCAUUACGCCACCAGGGUUUCCAGAUGGAGAAUAGCAACUGUGAAUUCAGAAUACUUAUAGUUAGGAUGCUUAGGAUGAAGGCUCUUUGUCAUCCUUAACUUACAGUCAUUGUGGAAAAAAUUACUUUGGCAUAAAGGUCCUCCAGUUUUGUUAUGCUACAUUAACCGAGGUGUGUAAAUGUCAUAAGCAAACUAUUGAUAUUGCUUAAGCGGUCCAGAGAGAUUGUUCCAGAGUUCGAGUUGUAAUCCCUAGGAGAGCUUAACUUACCUUCCUCCAUAAAUAUAGCAUCCCUUAUAGCAUGUAAAUUAACCCAACCUCUCUACACAGUUAGCAUGGACUGCAUUUUGUUUUACCCUAAAGGAUUUUUGUGCUUGAAUUUGAAAUGCAAAAUUAAUAAACUAUUUUUGUGUUUCACAGGUUAAUAUUAUGUUAAAGACAGAUCCAGGAUUAAAGCAAAAUCCUAUGACUCCCCUUUCUAGUCUAAUAGGAAUUUAUGGAAAAUGUACCCUUCUGUUAGGUUUUCCAUGCCAGACGUGAAAGAUGUCUUUAGCUUUCCUUUCUGUUACGGUGUGCCUUGCAGAGUGUUUCUUGCCACUAGCCACCAUGUAACAUGGUGCAGUGAAAGAAAUUUUCUUACUUGGAUUCUGCAGUAGGUAUGUGUCCUAUUCCAUUUUCUAAACAAGUACAGUGAGUUUAUAGUCCACAGAGGUGUUUUCUCAGCUGUUCUUCUAACAAAUAUGUUUAACAUUCUAUGAGUCUUUAUGUAUGUGAAAUAUUUGAAGACUAGCUAGUCAUUACCAGGUAGACAUCAUAAUGGUAAAGGAAAUUCACCGCUGAUAAGCUUUUCUGUAUGUCUGCUUUUAAAGGUGAUUUUAAAUUAUGAAAAUCUUACGACUCACUUGAGUUGUUAGUUCUGUCACCCUGAAAAUCUUAGUUAAGUGUCUACACUGGAGUACAAAGCACUGUGCAGGAUCACACUGGUGAUCCUAAUGAUGGACCUUGGUCCUACUUUGCAGAGCCCAGAGUCCACAUUAACCUGUGAAAAUAUUUGGUGAGCCUGGAUUCUCAGGAAAAAGUUGGGAAAUGUCAACGGAUGAAUGCAGUGAAGGAUUCUUUCACCGAGGUAGUAGUUAGCACAAGUAAAUGCUUUUAAAACAGAUAAGUGUAUGGAAAGCUAAAGUUCAGCAGUUUAAUUCUUUGCUAAAGGAACAUUCGGUUGUUUCUCCUGCUGUGGCCACUGCCCUCUGGCUGGGGAAAUGGUGGUGCCUAUUUAAGGUGACCACCUAGUGCUGCUCGGAAGAUUUCUGUGUGACCUCUGACUGCCACCUUCAGAUUCUUGAUGAUUUACUAAGGAAAUUAAGAUGCGUUUCAGAGAGACUGGGCAGGUGGCACAGCGGUUAAGAGUUUGGCUGCUAACUAAAAGGUCAGCAGUUUGAAUCCACCAGCCGUUCCCUGGAAACCCUAAGGAGGCAGUUCUACUCUCUCCGAUAGGGUUGCUAUGAGUUGGAAUUGACUCCACGGCAAGGGGUUAGGGUUUUUGGGCAGGUUUGGUAGACUUCCUUUGUCCUGUCUGCUCCCUUCCUGUUUGCUAAUGUAGAUCCUACCCUUCCCUCAGGGCUUGCUCAAAUCCAUCUCUCCAGGGAAAGCUUCCACUAGUAAUCUCAUGGAACCAAGCAGUCUUUCCUGUCUUUGAAUUCCCGCGGCAUUCUAAUACUGUUAGAACCUGAUACCAUACGGUCUUAUUUGGUUCUUUGGUAUUUUAUGAAUGUGCAUUUGCCUUCCCAAAUAUAUUAUACUGCCACUUCAGUUUGAAUUCAGUAUUUCAAUAUUGAAUAUUCAAUUCAUAGUCAACUUUAAUUCAAUGUAUUUGAAUCCAUUCAAAUGAAAUAUUUUAUUUUGUCAUUUGAUAUUCACAAAAGCCUUUUGAGAGAGGUACAACAGGAGCCUGCAUUUGGCAGGUGAAUAAAACCAUCAGUUGCCAUGGAGUCGAUUCAGACUCAUGGGGACCCCAUGUGUGUCAGAGUAGAACUGUACUCCAUAGGGUUUUCAAUGGCUGAUUUUUCUUCUGAGGUGCCUCUGGGUGGACUCAAACCUCCAACCUUUUGGUUAGCAGCUGAGCACUUCAGCACUUUGCACCACCCAGGUACACAGCCCUUAAUGUGUAGAAGCUUAUAGUCUGGUCAAGGACAGAAGUUGUGCACAGUGACCUAAAAUAGGUGGCAAUUUAUUUUGUGGUAAGUGGGAAGAAGAAGGUACUCCUGGGUUAGGGAAAGCUUCUCGGGGAGAAGGGGUCAUAGAUGCACUAGAUCUCAACAGAUAAUAUGACUUUGAAAGAUGCAGGAAUAUCUUAUUAGUGAGAGAACAGUUAGAGCAAAAGAAAUAUGGAAGUACAAGCCAUGUUUGGGUAAGGGCAAGUAGGGUAGUUUGGCUGGAGUGGAAAGUUUGUUUAGAGGGGUAGGAAGAAAUAGGUCAGAAACUUUGGUUGGAAUCAAAUGAUGGAAGACUUUGUUUGCCCCACCAACGGCUUUGAUGGGGCAUGAAUGUGUUGAGGGAGUGAGUGAGGUAAUAAAGACCAUGUAGUGGGUAGUUCAGACUGGCAGUAGCCGAAUGCAGCAGGGAGCUACUGAGGAUGAGGAGAAAUAUUAAAGGCUACUGCAAAGGUCCAGCUGAUAGGUGCUUGAACAGGAGUGAUAGAGGUGAGAGGGAAAGGAAUGCAGAU